RNAcentral lists this ribosomal RNA (623 nucleotides) under Kocuria palustris. RNAcentral describes it as "bacterial SSU rRNA". It matches the Rfam family "Bacterial small subunit ribosomal RNA", at positions 57 to 690 of the family's 1533-position model. Lineage: Bacteria; Bacillati; Actinomycetota; Actinomycetes; Micrococcales; Micrococcaceae. The record is from RNAcentral.
GCAGUCGAACGCUGAAGCACCAGCUUGCUGGUGUGGAUGAGUGGCGAACGGGUGAGUAAUACGUGAGUAACCUGCCCUUGACUCUGGGAUAAGCCCGGGAAACUGGGUCUAAUACUGGAUGCUACAUGUCACCGCAUGGUGGUGUGUGGAAAGGGUUUACUGGUCUUGGAUGGGCUCACGGCCUAUCAGCUUGUUGGUGAGGUAAUGGCUCACCAAGGCGACGACGGGUAGCCGGCCUGAGAGGGUGACCGGCCACACUGGGACUGAGACACGGCCCAGACUCCUACGGGAGGCAGCAGUGGGGAAUAUUGCACAAUGGGCGAAAGCCUGAUGCAGCGACGCCGCGUGAGGGAUGACGGCCUUCGGGUUGUAAACCUCUUUCAGCAGGGAAGAAGCCACAAGUGACGGUACCUGCAGAAGAAGCGCCGGCUAACUACGUGCCAGCAGCCGCGGUAAUACGUAGGGCGCAAGCGUUGUCCGGAAUUAUUGGGCGUAAAGAGCUCGUAGGCGGUUUGUCGCGUCUGCUGUGAAAGCCCGGGGCUUAACCCCGGGUGUGCAGUGGGUACGGGCAGACUAGAGUGCAGUAGGGGAGACUGGAAUUCCUGGUGUAGCGGUGGAAUGCG